This 405-nucleotide unclassified non-coding RNA is filed under the name Hevea brasiliensis (rubber tree). Lineage: Eukaryota; Viridiplantae; Streptophyta; Magnoliopsida; Malpighiales; Euphorbiaceae. The record is from RNAcentral.
ACCCAUUAGAGAUAAAAUAAGUACUUCCGAGCUUCCUAGCCCUAGGACAUGUUCAUAAUCACUGGCUGCUGAGAUGUACAAGGCAGUAGAAGAUGCGGGGGCGAUGGAUGUAUGUUUUAUGAUAACCCAACUGGUGACAUUUUCUUUAGAGGACCUCAACGUUUACUCAGUGCUGUGAGCAGAUAUGGGAAGCGAGGGGAACAUUAAUUUUCAUUCUUUAUAAAGUUGUUGCUUUUGUAUUAAAACGAUAACGCGGUUACAAUCUAAUAAAUUAAAUAUAGCAGAUUGUGUGUCAGUUCUUGUCCUAUUGGAUGAGCUCCAAUGAUUUGAUUUGCAUCAUUUCUGCUCUAUUAUGGCUUUAAAGCUGGGGUGUAAUUUUUCUGCUUUGUCUCUUUAUAAUUGACA